Molecule: long non-coding RNA, 392 nt
Organism: Rhagoletis zephyria (snowberry fruit fly)
Lineage: Eukaryota; Metazoa; Arthropoda; Insecta; Diptera; Tephritidae
Source: RefSeq, a predicted model, not a curated record
AAAAAUUUACAAAUUAGUAGAAACCCGCGUAUUCUCUUGCAAAGGUGAAUUUACGAAAUCCGUGAAUACGAACACAUUUAAAUGUGCAUAUAAUCUCAUAACCCUAUUCGCGUUAAGAAUCGUCGGAUUGAAUUGCGAAUUCUAACUUGUGCAAUCGCUGAUUGAAUUUGCUGCACCGAUUGAAUAUGAAAAGCCAUUCGGAAAAGAACCAAACUGCAUAAAGAGAUUUGGUCGUGCACACGCGUACAAACAAAUAUUUAGUAUUUACCCUCCAGGGAAACCCGAACUAGAGAAUCAAAUUUCUGGUUUAGUACUAGUUCUUUAUCGACAAAAACCAACUAGGAACUAGAUCCUCAUCAGCCCAAAAGCAUCGAAAUGUGGGAAAACAUGUC